RNAcentral lists this ribosomal RNA (701 nucleotides) under Streptomyces sp. MJH19. RNAcentral's name for it is "bacterial SSU rRNA". It matches the Rfam family "Bacterial small subunit ribosomal RNA", at positions 78 to 794 of the family's 1533-position model. The record is from RNAcentral. Lineage: Bacteria; Bacillati; Actinomycetota; Actinomycetes; Kitasatosporales; Streptomycetaceae.
CUUCGGUGGGGAAGAGUGGCAGAACGGGUGAGUAACACGUGGGCAAUCUGCCCUGCACUCUGGGAUAACUCCGGGAAACCGGAGCUAAUACCGGAUACGACUCUCCAGGGCAUCCUGGGGGGUGGAAAGCUCCGGCGGUGCAGGAUGAGCCCGCGGCCUAUCAGCUGGUUGGUGGGGUAACGGCCCACCAAGGCGACGACGGGUAGCCGGCCUGAGAGGGCGACCGGCCACACUGGGACUGAGACACGGCCCAGACUCCUACGGGAGGCAGCAGUGGGGAAUAUUGCACAAUGGGCGCAAGCCUGAUGCAGCGACGCCGCGUGAGGGAUGACGGCCUUCGGGUUGUAAACCUCUUUCAGCAGGGAAGAAGCGCAAGUGACGGUACCUGCAGAAGAAGCACCGGCUAACUACGUGCCAGCAGCCGCGGUAAUACGUAGGGUGCGAGCGUUGUCCGGAAUUAUUGGGCGUAAAGAGCUCGUAGGCGGCCUGUCGCGUCGGAUGUGAAAGCCCGGGGCUUAACCCCGGGUCUGCAUUCGAUACGGGCAGGCUAGAGUUCGGUAGGGGAGAUCGGAAUUCCUGGUGUAGCGGUGAAAUGCGCAGAUAUCAGGAGGAACACCGGUGGCGAAGGCGGAUCUCUGGGCCGAUACUGACGCUGAGGAGCGAAAGCGUGGGGAGCGAACAGGAUUAGAUACCCUGGUAGU